AAAAAGAGCUGUUGCACUUUAAGGGGGCGUGGCUGGAGAAUGCUACAAAUAAUGGGUGGACCCCUCGGGAAGGAAAAAUGGGUAAAAUGGGGGUUUAGAGAUCUCUAUCCGAGAAACUGGCUGGGGCCAAGCUCGCAUACUUAAGGAAUGCGGUGGUUAGGAAACUGGCCUACACCUCUACCGUACAUGACUCAAGAAGGGAGCACAUUUGAGAGCAAGCACCUCGUUUGGAGCAAGAGACAGUGCAUUUACCCCCAAACCCACUUCAAUUUUGGUAAGGUUUAUAGUUCAAAAGAAUUGGCAGGUUAUGGAGAAAUCCUCAGGAAUAUUUGUAAGCAAUAAAGUUGCCAAGACAAAUUAGUGAACUUGAGUUACGGACGGUUAGGCACCCCAACAUACUGAUGAGCUGUUUUUUCGAUUGGUUAAAUGGGAUACGCUUCUCAUAAACUGCUACUUGCCCGCCGCCCCAGCAUUUGAAGACAAACAGUAGGGCCUGCUACCUGGUACCAGGUGUCCACUGUUGUCUCCACCCACUAACCUAAAACUAACGUUCCCGUUUUAUCUGCUCUCCGAAACAUCCAGUCAGGUUGCUUGAAAAGAAUUAAUUUAUAGUAGCUUUGGGUAGCCUAGUCUCAGCUUUCCGAUUGGAUUGAAGCAAAGUAACUAAAUAGCCAAUGAAAGGGUAGACGUACAAGGGCUAUUUUUCGCAUUUGUGACGACACACUGAAAUUAACCCAAUCGUAAGUGACAUUUUACUGACCUCAUUUGAAUACCGCAUCUAUAAAUAAAUGUGUCUUUACCCACGGUGAUUAUUUUUUAAGGUAUUAAUGGUAGCGUAACUUGACGCUGAAAUGCCAGAACCCACGAAAUCUGCUCCGGCCCCAAAGAAGGGCUCUAAGAAGGCGGUAACCAAAGCGCAGAAGAAGGACGGCAAAAAACGCAAGCGCAGCCGCAAGGAGAGCUACUCGGUGUACGUGUACAAGGUGCUCAAGCAGGUCCAUCCCGACACCGGCAUCUCGUCCAAGGCCAUGGGCAUCAUGAACUCCUUCGUCAACGACAUUUUCGAGCGCAUCGCGGGCGAGGCGUCGCGCCUGGCGCAUUACAACAAGCGCUCGACCAUCACCUCCAGGGAGAUCCAGACGGCCGUGCGCCUGCUGCUGCCCGGGGAGCUGGCCAAGCACGCCGUGUCCGAGGGCACCAAGGCCGUCACCAAGUACACCAGUUCCAAGUAAACUUGCCAAGAAUCACACAUUUUGGCAUCUGAUGAAAUCAUGUACUUUUUCUCCUUUAACCUGUUGCAGUGACAUGCAACAAGCAGAUCUCUGUAUCCCAACCUCACCAGCAUCUUGGACCUGAAUUUGCAGCUGACAAAAGGACAUUUCCUGUCUAUCAUCCUCCCCCUAUACAAUAAUUACAGGACUCUCUAUCUACGGUUGAUAUUAUUUUAAAAGCUUUAUACUUUCUAAAUGUCUUUUGCUCAUUUUUCUUUAAAACAACCAAGCAUUGAAAACUCUACAAAAAAUGUUAUCUUAAAAUGGUUGAGGUUCUUUACUUCCAUUCCCCUUCAAAGGGUUCAAGGAUACAUGAGUCUUUGUAGAUAAUGACCUAUCUUCAUUUCAAGGGAAAGAGCCUGUAAUUGAUUCCCUUUCAAUUGAACUUCCAAAUAGAAAUCCUCUACAUAGAUAGGGCCAGCCAAUGUUAAUGUACGCGAUGGUGUUAGUUUUCAAACAUCUUGACUAAAUAAAUAAAGGGGAGAUGU
RNA transcript from Manis javanica (Malayan pangolin), 1759 nucleotides. It is a transcript of the gene named histone H2B type 1-M, with no coding region annotated. The record is from RefSeq and is a predicted model, not a curated record. Lineage: Eukaryota; Metazoa; Chordata; Mammalia; Pholidota; Manidae.